This 550-nucleotide ribosomal RNA is filed under the name uncultured Acidobacteriota bacterium. RNAcentral's name for it is "bacterial SSU rRNA". It matches the Rfam family "Bacterial small subunit ribosomal RNA", at positions 355 to 897 of the family's 1533-position model. The record is from RNAcentral. Lineage: Bacteria; Pseudomonadati; Acidobacteriota.
UCGGGAAUUUUGGGCAAUGGGCGAAAGCCUGACCCAGCAACGCCGCGUGAAGGAUGAAAUCCCUCGGGAUGUAAACUUCGCAAGAAUAGGAAGAAUUAGUAGGGGUUAAUACCCCCUAUGAUGACGGUACUAUUUGUAAGCUCCGGCUAACUCCGUGCCAGCAGCCGCGGUAAUACGGGGGGAGCAAGCGUUGUUCGGAUUUACUGGGCGUAAAGGGCGCGUAGGCGGUCAGCACAAGUCAGUUGUGAAAUCUCCGGGCUUAACUCGGAAAGGUCAACUGAUACUGUGCGACUAGAGUGCAGAAGGGGCAACUGGAAUUCUCGGUGUAGCGGUGAAAUGCGUAGAUAUCGAGAGGAACACCUGCGGCGAAGGCGGGUUGCUGGGCUGACACUGACGCUGAGGCGCGAAAGCCAGGGGAGCGAACGGGAUUAGAUACCCCGGUAGUCCUGGCCUUAAACGAUGGAUGCUUGGUGUCUGGAGUUUUAUAGUCUCCGGGUGCCGUAGCUAACGCGUUAAGCAUCCCGCCUGGGGAGUACGGUCGCAAGACUGA